Molecule: ribosomal RNA, 482 nt
Filed under: uncultured bacterium
Lineage: Bacteria
Description: partial 16S ribosomal RNA
Rfam family: Bacterial small subunit ribosomal RNA
Source: RNAcentral
GAUGAACGCUAGCGGCAGGCCUAAUACAUGCAAGUCGGACGGGAUUCAGGAGCUUGCUUCUGAUGAGAGUGGCGCACGGGUGCGUAACACGUAUGUAACCUACCUUUAUCAGGGGGUUAGCCUCCCGAAAGAGAGAUUAAGCCCGCAUAAAAUCACAUCACAGCCUUGUGUAAUGAUCAAAUAUUUAUAGGAUAAAGAUGGGCAUGCGGAACAUUAGCGAGAUGGCGGGGUAACGGCCCACCAUGGCGACGAUGUUUAGGGGAUCUGAGCGGAUGUCCCCCCAGACUGGAACUGAGGCACGGACCAGACUCGGAGGGAGGGGAGCGGUAUGGUAUAGUAGGCAAGGAGCGGAAGCCUGACAAAGCCGUGCCGGGUACAGAAAGACUGGGAUAGGAGUUGUAAACUGCUUGUAAAGGGGAAUAAUCCAAGAUACGGGUAUCUGGCUGAAUGUACUGAAAGAAUAAGGAUCGGCUAACUCCGUG